GACGAACGCUGGCGGCGUGCCUAAUACAUGCAAGUUGAGCGCUGAAGGUUGGUACUUGUACCAACUGGAUGAGCAGCGAACGGGUGAGUAACGCGUGGGGAAUCUGCCUUUGAGCGGGGGACAACAUUUGGAAACGAAUGCUAAUACCGCAUAAAAACUUUAAACACAAGUUUUAAGUUUGAAAGAUGCAAUUGCAUCACUCAAAGAUGAUCCCGCGUUGUAUUAGCUAGUUGGUGAGGUAAAGGCUCACCAAGGCGAUGAUACAUAGCCGACCUGAGAGGGUGGUCGGCCACAUUGGGACUGAGACACGGCCCAAACUCCUUCGGGAGGCAGCAGUAGGGAAUCGUCGGCAAUGGACGAAAGUCUGACCGAGCAACGCCGAGUGAGUGAAGAAGGUUUUCGGAUCGUAAAACUCUGUUGGUAGAGAAGAACGUUCGUGAGAGUGGAAAGCUCAUCAAGUGACGGUAACUACCCAGAAAGGGACGGCUAACUACGUG
This 497-nucleotide ribosomal RNA is filed under the name uncultured bacterium. Its description in RNAcentral is "partial 16S ribosomal RNA". It matches the Rfam family "Bacterial small subunit ribosomal RNA", at positions 28 to 507 of the family's 1533-position model. The record is from RNAcentral.